This 855-nucleotide ribosomal RNA is filed under the name Pigmentatineomassaria italica. RNAcentral describes it as "Pezizomycotina sp. SNW-2023a partial large subunit ribosomal RNA". It matches the Rfam family "Eukaryotic large subunit ribosomal RNA", at positions 71 to 943 of the family's 3401-position model. The record is from RNAcentral. Lineage: Eukaryota; Fungi; Ascomycota; Dothideomycetes; Pleosporales; Neomassariaceae.
GGGAUUGCCCUAGUAACGGCGAGUGAAGCGGCAACAGCUCAAAUUUGAAAUCUGGCUCUCUUUGGGGGUCCGAGUUGUAAUUUGCAGAGGGUGCUUCGGCGUUGGCCUUGGUCUAAGUUUCUUGGAACAGGACGUCACAGAGGGUGAGAAUCCCGUAUGUGGCCACAGGUCUUCGCCUUGUGAAGCCCUUUCAACGAGUCGAGUUGUUUGGGAAUGCAGCUCUAAUUGGGAGGUAAAUUUCUUCUAAAGCUAAAUACGGGCCAGAGACCGAUAGCGCACAAGUAGAGUGAUCGAAAGAUGAAAAGCACUUUGGAAAGAGAGUUAAAAAGCACGUGAAAUUGUUGAAAGGGAAGCGCUUGCAGCCAGACUUGCUCGCAGUUGCUCAUCGAGGCUUACGCCUCGUGCAUUCUUCUGCGGGCAGGCCAGCAUCAGUUCGGGCGGUCAGAAAAAGACCUUGGGAAUGUAGCUCUCUCCGGAGAGUGUUAUAGCCCAGGGUGCAAUGUGGCCAGCCUGGACUGAGGUCCGCGCUUCGGCUAGGAUGCUGGCGUAAUGGCCCCAAGCGGCCCGUCUUGAAACACGGACCAAGGAGUCUAACAUCUAUGCGAGUGUUUGGGUGCAAAGCCCGGGCGCGCAAUGAAAGUGAACGGAGGUGGGAACCCUUUGGGUGCACCAUCGACCGAUCCUGAUGUCUUCGGAUGGAUUUGAGUAAGAGCAUAGCUGUUGGGACCCGAAAGAUGGUGAACUAUGCCUGAAUAGGGUGAAGCCAGAGGAAACUCUGGUGGAGGCUCGCAGCGGUUCUGACGUGCAAAUCGAUCGUCAAAUUUGGGCAUAGGGGCGAAAGACUAAUCGAACUAU